CACUAGUAGCAAAGAUGCGUCGGGUCAUCAUUUUAUUGGCAAUUACAGUAAGAAGAAUCCCUUGGAAAUAUAUACUUUUUGUAUGUUUUUCUUCCGUCUUUUUAAUUGUAUGUGUGUUCGUCAUGAACAAAACAGGAUUCAAACUUAGAUUCAUAAAUAAUGAUACAAUAAAAGCAACAAAUGAUUCACGUACUACUGCGAGAGAGAGAGAGAGAUUAAUUGACGACCCAUAAAUUCAAAAGUUUCUGAUUAAUCAUAAUCAUAACAGAAUUAACAUUGAACAUAGAGAGUUUAUAUAGCUUCAGUAUGGAAGGGGAGGUAGGAACUCAACUGCUAAAGCUGAAUAGAGAGAGUAAUUGAAAGGAAACACAUCGCUUGGAUACUAAUAAUCUAAUAAAUUUGACCUUUUAAGCCUCGGAUGGUUCGUCCUUGACUUUGUCCUUGUCUUUGUCGUCGGCGGCAUCAUCGGAUUCAGAGGAAGCUUCGUUGCUUCCUUCAACGGCGUCGUCGGGAUCGCGAGCAGGAUCGGAUUUGUCCAUGGCGGCUCGAACCUUGUCGAGGAACGGCUUCAAAGCCAACUCAAUAGCCAGCCACCCAAACGCUAGAGCACCAACAACGGUCAGCGCUUUCUUCAUCUUCUCCACACCCCUCCUUUCCUUAAACUGCGCUGCUUCUAUUUCUAUCUCUAUGCCACUAGUUAGCUAUCAAUUUUGUCUUCAUUUUCUAGGUCAAAUUACAACAAAGGGUAUUUUAAUUUUGUCUUCGUUUUCUAGGUCAAAUUACAACAAGGGUAUUUUUCCCCCUUUCUUGCGUAUUUGGAAAGGAAGCAAUACACUAAUUCCCCCUCCCUCCGCCUCCGGUUUAAAAUUCGAAAAUUCGGUCCCCCUUUGUUUGCCUUUUACCUUUAGCCCUAUUUUCCUCUUGGGCUCUGCUAAUUACGAUCACAUUAUCAUUAAUUACCAGUGUUGUAUUAAAGGAUUUAGCUUUAGUGCUGCAUUGAAUUUUUUAUUAAUCUUGUAGAAAUAUAUAAUUACUAAUUAUUGAAUAAGAAUAUAAUAAAAUACAAUUAGUAAUUAUUAAAUAAGAAUACAAAACUAAUUAAAACUUAGCAGCAUAUUACUGUACGUGCAAGUGUUAUAGAAGAUCAUAAAAAAUUGAACGCAACUCAACAUUUGGACCUAGAUCCUAAAUCCUAUAUUAAAAUAUAAGAAUUUCUGAACAUUUGAUUUGCUUCUUCAAGAUAUACAGGGUAUUACUUAAUUGAUAAGAAAAAUCUCACAAAAUUAAAGACUACGUGCAGACAUAAUAAAUACAGUCAGCUCAGUUCAAUUUUUCCAGUCAUGCAGAUCACAGUAAAAUGCGUAGCCCACGCACUUAGAACAAAACAUUUAACAAAAACUACAAUAACUUUCUAGACAUUUAUGAGUUAACUAAAUAAGCCGUGCCCAAUUUGUGCUAUGGUAUUUAAGUGCUCCGGUAAGGGAUAACAAUCCUUGGCAAGUGCCACACCGAAAGCUAUUUGCCUGUUAAGAUUUCCUCAAUAAGUAUUAGAUCACACGCUAAUUAAUCAGAGUCUUUUUUUUUUUUUUUUUUGGGUACCAUUAUAAGAAAGCAAAAACAAAGGAGUGAUGCUUCGAAUUCUAGAUCAAGUCACCCUGGUGGAACAAUAUUAAAAGAUAACAUCACUCCUUUCCAUGUCCCCACACACUCCUACAACAAAGAUGUUUACAUGACCAGGUGCUCCAAAAAUUAUAACCAGUGCAACAUAUCUAACGACCACGGCCACGCCCGCGACCACGUCCACGGCCCCGACCACGUCCCACCGGCCUCCCUGAAUUUGGAAAGAAUUAGAAAGAUUAAUAUCAUCAGGAAUCAUGAAAAGAAGCAUACACAAAAAAAAUGAACACAUGAAUGAAGCUUAAUCUGAGAAAUUAUGUCAAUACCAGCAGUCGGCUUCUUUGGCUUGACCCUAGGUGUCUCUUCAACCAGCAAUGUUUCAAGAUUCAAGCUGUCAGGAAGGAUAUAAUAACGGAUAUUGUUACCCCUCACACUUAGGUGAUCCAAGUUCACUGGAUUUUUCCCCUUCAGCGUAAGUUUCACUGUUUUCAAAUGUGUGUUCAUACUGAUAUCCACACCUGUAAUAAAACAGUCAAAUCUCCUGUCAGAACAGUUUCACCAUCCAUCCCCGUGCACAGAGUUAAUAGUAUUUCACCAAGGAAAACUAUGCAAUACAACUCUGCUCUAGUUAUUAUGUCACUCAAAUAAGUGCUCAGAAAAUAUGAACAUUUACUACCAAAGAGAAAGCUGCUGUACCGUACAUCCGCCUUGGCCGUACAGCAGGCUGCUAACAUNNNNNNNNNNNNNNNNNNNNNNNNNNNNNNNNNNNNNNNNNNNNNNNNNNNNNNNNNNNNNNNNNNNNNNNNNNNNNNNNNNNNNNNNNNNNNNNNNNNNNNNNNNNNNNNNNNNNNNNNNNNNNNNNNNNNNNNNNNNNNNNNNNNNNNNNNNNNNNNNNNNNNNNNNNNNNNNNNNNNNAGUACGAGUAUGAAGGUUCAAGGUAAAUGCAGCAGCUGCGUGUGUGAUUCCAUGUCAUGGGGUUUUGCACGUGUGCAAAGGAUGCAUGUAGCACAGAGAGAAAGGAGACCCCAUUCUAACAAAGGAAAAUUGUACGAACAUUUUCUACAAGGGCAAGAACUAUGAGAAAAUCAAGAAGGAAACAGGUUACUCAGGUAAUAUGGCAUCAAGUGCUUAUGACAUUGUACAAACACUUCUCUACAAGGGCAAGAACUAUGAAAAAAUGGAGAGGGAAACAGGUCACUCGGGUAAUAUGGCAUCAAGUGCUUGUAAACAGUCAAAAAUGGCAAUCUUGCAUUGGUGCUACACAUAAUCUUCAACUUCUAAUUUAAAAAAAUAAAAUCUCCAAUUCAACCAAUCACUACGUUUACCCUUUUAACUUCUUUUAUGAAAGAAGGUUUCCCCACCAAAGAAACAAGACAAAUCCCGGUUACAAAAGAGCAGCUUUGUCAACUCCUUCGAAGUUGAUUGACCGCAGGACAUGCGGCUUCCAUAAGAAAGCUAGUCAAUGGAGUUUUUACACUGAGCUAUAAAAUUUAAAAACUUUCACUUACCAAAAGCAAUUUCUCAGGAUUGUAAAUCCUAACUUAUUAAACGUCCUAACUACUUAAACCUUACUUCAUCGACUUUAGAUACCAUCGACAGUUUAUAAUGUAUUAAGGACAACCUCGGAAGCAAUUUCCUUCCAUAAAGGGUAAGAAAACCUCUAAAUUUCUGUUAAGAGAGAAAGCAAGGCACAAAAUCCAUCAACUUGCUGUGAUAAAAACCUGUAGAUGGGUAUGGAUAACUAAGGCAGACAUACAUCUCUAACAUGAAAAAUUUAAACAUACAAAACUAAGCAGUUAAACAAGGUAUUAUCCUAAUAUAUAGCAAAUUCCAAUGCUUCAAUUAAAGAAAAGACAAUAUACAUAUCCUAGAAUGGGAUAUCCUACUAUCAUCUAUACUAAUCCGUACUGUUUACACGAAAAAAACAGACAAGAGCACUAGGUUCUAACUCAUACUAUUAUCUAUACUAAUUUAAGUCUUAUAGAAGAAUCAUGACUCGCAGUUUAUCAACUAAAUUAUAUACCACACUGGAAGCCAAUAGAGGGGAAAAAAUGAAAAAAAACCCCAAAAUGAAGUGGUAACUCCAACUCAAUUGUUCAUAAUCGAGGCACAACUAGUCUAGCAGUUAACAAUUUGUAUUCUAAUCGGAAAUUAAGCAUAUAUGUAAAAGAAAUAAACAAAAACGAAAAAUAAAAGGCUAGGGUUUAACAAAACCCUAGAUGUACUAAACCCUGAAAAAGGAAAAAGGAAAUGAAGCAAUAAUAAGUGAAGAGAAAAUAACCUGUGAUGGUUCCGUGAACAAUGGUUCCGUUCUUCAGUUCAAUCGACACGGUCUCAUUGUUCAACUUCAUCAAGAACCUGUUUGAUUUCCGAUUUCAGUCACGAGCAAAUUUUUUUUAAAAAAACAAUAAUAAGGCGAAUCACAACAGUAACAAUAAAAGGAGAAAGAGUAAUUGUUGUGACCGACCUGACGAGCUUCAUUUUGGUGAGCAAGACGAAAGCUAGGGCUUUGAAGCAAAAGCGGAGAGAAGAAGAUUCUCUGCUACUAGGAAGCGGGAACGUUGUGCUGCACUCUGUGGAUCUGAUUUAGGGCUCGGGUGUGUAUUAAGGCCAUUUUAGCCUGGCAAAACGGCUCCGUUUAAGUCAGAGUCAAUUUGUCUUUAUUGCAAGACACUAUAGCUCUUCCACCUCAAUAAUCCUAAUAUGAAAUUUGUGGAAAGAAAAGUAAGGAUGGAAUAUUUAUGCAUUAAAGAUUAUUUUAAAUACUUUAUUAUUUUAUACAUUCAUAUAUUAAAUUAUUUAAAAAAUUAAAUUUUACUUUAUAUAUUUUUUAAAAUUCUAAAAAAAUAUGUACUUAAACUAAUAAAUUAAUUAACUUUAUUUACUCGAAACACUAAUAAAGUUAUUCAACACACUCAAUUUUAAGAGAUUUAACUCAUAUUUAUUGUAAUAUAAGCUCUAAAAAAAUUAUUUAGCAUAAUUUCAGCUAUUAUUAUUUUUUAUUAUUUAUGUUCAAUAUUAGAUUUUGCCUCCAAAACAACUUGCAAUGGAACAUAAUAAUUAAAAAAAAGUACUCUACAAAUACUACCAAAAAAGAAACGAAGACAAAGAACAGAAAAAAUCUCACAUAUUUUGUAGUAAAAUUUUUUUAAAAAUAUUUAUUUCCUGUUUUAUUUUCAAGGCAUUGAGUAGUGAGUAUAAUAUAUCAGCAUUCAAAGUCAUUGUGUAAUAUAAAUUUAUAAGAAAUUAUUAUUAAUGGAAAUUUACAUUAUGAACAAUUUUGUAAUAAAUUCUUAAUUAAAAUUAAAGUGUGUAUAGAAUAAUUUUUAAGUACGAACAGUCCCAGCCUAAAAAUAAAUAGGCUUUGAAUUAGAAAAUCCCUCCUAAUUUAUUGAUGCAAUGAAAUCUUUCACAUCUAUGAGUUUUGUCAUACUGAAAAUGUUGCAAUUCUAGAAAGUCAAAGCAAAUUUGAAGACGAUUAAAUAAAUAUUUUAAUAAAAACGAUAUACAAUUUUGAACGAAUAUUAAAAUAUGGGACUCGCCUAUCGUGCAACAGUGGCACCAUGCCACUGCUUUUGUCUUUUCUGUGUAAAAUUUCAUGAAGCCCUUUCACUUAUUCUUAUUUGAACUUUGAAGCCCUUUCACUUAUUCUUAUUUGAACUUUGCUUCAAAAAUAUUAAGUUCAUUUCUCCCAAACCCGUGAAUCCUUUAACGGCCGAUCAACGGCAAAUCGGCUCCUCCGGUGGCUGUGGUUGGUCAGAAAAGACAUAGAGAAUUGUGGAGAACAAAACUCAAGUGGUGGCGUCACCGGAAACUGGAGAAACAACGACGAAUUGAAGCGGGGAUUCUGUGACUUUUCACGGCUUCGAUCGGCAGCUUUCCGAAUGCUUUACGACGACAAGGAUGACAUGGAGAUGACCGGCAUCACACGAGCUUCCGAUCGGUACCAACCUUGGCCGGUGGAGUUGCCGGAAAUGGAAACAAAAUCCGGGUCGGGUUCGCGGGUCGGGUUGACCCGGUUAUUUUUGUGACAAGGAUGGUGUGGAGAUGACCGGCGUCGCACGAUCUUCCGAUCGGUACCAACCUUGGCCGGUGGCGUGGACGGAAAUGGAAACGAAAUUCGGGUCGGGUUCGCCGGUAUUUGUGAUAAAAAGAGGGGUAUUGUGAUAAAUGUGUAAUAUAGAAGAAAAAUGUAUAAAUAACAAAUAGUAUAAGGUGCUAAUUAUAAUGUUUAUAUGGAUGCAAUAGAAAUUAAUUUAAUAUUUAUGAGGUAAAGUUUAAAUAAAAAUGAAUGAAAGGGGUUCAAUGAAAAUUUACAACACAGUUGGCACAAAAGACAAAACCAGUGGUACGGAUACCACGGUGGUACCGUAGUUGGAUCCUUUGUUAAGUCAUGACAAUCUGAAAUUUUUAUUAUUUUUUUUGGAAAUAUUAUUAGUUAGUGGAUAUAGGAGGAAUAUCCACCACAGCCAUCGAAUCGAGUUAGUGACCAUACAGAGUAAUUACUUUAAUCAGUUAAGCAGAAAUAUAAAUUUAUAUGUAUCCUGAAAACAAUCCCACAAUAUCAUACAUAAAAUCAUACAUCUCAAAUGAGUUAAUUUACAAAUAUAAAUAUCAAACUCAAUUCAUAAAAGAAAUCAAAAUAUAUAAACAAAUAAAAAGUAACAAACGGGGAACAAAUUCAUAAUCGUGGCACCCUAUUCAAACCAAAUAAAAACUUAAAAAAUUUGUCACCAACGACUUGGAUAUGUAGUAUUCUUUUAGUCAAGCAGUGGAAGUGAAGUUGAAAUUGGCGCACGUAGUUUGCCUGCCCAAGAGCGCAGAGCCGAAGCCUGGCCUUGAUGUUGCCGAAUCAAACUUAAGAAGCAUGUCCUCCUACUGGUGCCCUCCGAUGACAAUGGAAGUUGUAGGUUUCGAACCGCCAUUAACAAACCCUGGACAGUACAUAUCUUCAUUGACCUGCACCAUCGAGUUUGCAUCAAAGAUGCGCCAUAUCACAUUUUCAUUCUCUGCAAAACAAGUUGGAUGGUCAGCACGGAUGCCCCCAAACGCGUGCCAAGUAUGUUCCUUGAGUUGAAACACACAUCAAAGGGUGCCACGGAUGCCACCCUAGUGGUGUUUCUAGCAGAUUAACGCCUCUGUUACUGCCUUAAAUAUCGACUUCUCCAAUGCAGUGUAGGGAUUCACAGUGCUGAUUUUUGUUCCGCCAAAGCCCUGGCUGUCUAUUGACAGCAAUGUUGAGUUCAAUGGGACGACUCUGUCAUCGACCUUCAUUGAUUUCACUCCAAUGAAGAAUUUGUUGAUGUCGAAAUCUGAUCUAGUUGGUUAGCGACUUAAUAUCAGACUCUUGCAUCAGUAUUAAAUUUAUUUGGUGGAGAAUGGGCUAGCCAAUCGUCAAGACUACUAAUAAUUAAUGUGCGAAUACCUAAAAUCACAUAAGACGGUAAGAGGUGCCAUAAAUUUUUUUCAACGUGAACCCUCGACGCUUAAGUUAGUAAUCAGCCUUUUUCGGAAAAAAAUUAAAAAAAAAAUAAUAAAAGAAUUAAAAAUUGAGAAAAUUGAUUUUUUUUUUUAACCUCCCUUACUUUGGAUUUUUCAGGACUUUUAUAAGCAUCCGAAAUUAUCGCACCAUCGUUGGCAUUACUGGGUUGAAUGCGUCGCUUGAAUCAUGUGUUGUUGUUGCACCCUGGCCUUGGUGAUGAAAAGCAGUCGCCGCAGCUGUUGGAUCUAGCCACUGAGCACUGGGCUGACUUACACCUCACUGGGCGGUACGCUGAGGACGAAUAGUUUUGUCUGCAAUCAACCCACAUGAAUUGGCCGCCUAGAUCAACCACCAGGUUUACUGGCAACAGUGAGGUUCUCUGGUUGAUAGUGGUCACAUACUGAAGUGUGGAAGCAUCUUUUGUGACGGGAACUACUAGAGCUUUUGGCCUGAAAGAUUUAUGAGCGAAAGAGGGAGGAGCAAUGGAAAAUAAAAUGAGACCAGAGAAGAGAAUGCACACUAAAUUCGUAGAGAAGAUGCCGUUUUAAUUUGUUUGCAAGAAUCAAAAAGCUUGUAGACGUUGGAAAUGAGAUGAGCGUGGACAGACUGUGGCAAUGCCGCCUCCAUUUAUAGUUUCUAUAAUUCAUAUUUAUUAAUUAUUAAUAUGCAGAGCAUGCGGUGGCUUGGCUCUGACUACUGACGUGCUGAGACCAGACGUCUUCCAAGACUGCUGUAAUUUUAUACCACUGGAUCCAAAUCCAUAAAUAGGGUCCCGAAUAAUAGUCUUAUAUACAUUCAAGCGCGGAGUCGAUAUUUCUAUUCUUUAUUUAGAGCACUAGAAUAAAUAUAUCCAAUAAUUACACCAUGUGUAUAUGACAACAUUGUAACAUAAUUUAUAUUUUCUUCCCAGAUAAAAAUCAUUUAUUUAAAAGAUAAUUCCUCUAGGUUUUUGAGUUGUGGAUUGCAAUAGCUACCAGUCUUUUGAGAAAGUAAUUUUCUUUGCUUGAACAGUGAGCCAAUGAACACAAAAAAAAUUGUUGUGUAGAGAUAAAAGAAAUAUUGUAGCAGAAUUAGAUGAUUGUAUAUUUGUAUUAAUUAUACGAUGUUUGAGACUUUUAAAGCUUUUAACAAACUUGUCAAAGGGAUGUCAAAAAUUUAAUUAAUUCUAAACUUCAUAUCAUAAGGUUACAUUGAAGAUUUUUCGGAAAAGAGAAAUAACUUAAGAUUAUUGGGAAAAGGUUAAUAAUUAAAGAAAUUUGACUUUAGUGAAAGGAAAUUGUUUGAACCUGUGUUGUGAACCCAUCGAAUCCUCAGUUGGGGACUUUUAUACCAUAUGCUCGCGAUGGUGAGAAUAGUAACGUGUGACCCGCGGGCAUUUGGAAAGAAUUAGAGACUUAAGAGUACGUAGUUGAGCCCAUCAAAAACUUUGGAUCAAUAAUAUCCUGUGGCAUUAGACAAAUGCUUUCGCAUAUAAAAACCGAAUUUAAUUUUUUUGUUCAGCGUUGUUCAUUAAUCACCUCCAAAGACUGUAUAGUGUCAACCCGAAAGUUCGAAGAAAUACAGAUGUUGAGUGGGCCUAAAACUACCCAAAAGUAAAGCCAUUAGCUGUCUAAAUACUCAAUGGCUCAAUUCCAAGCUCUGUAGUUCACAUCACAGCACAUUCACCGUCAUCAUUACAGUUCACAUCCCCAUAUGGGGCAUUCCUCGGCUGUAUCCCUCGAUGAUGAUGAUGAGCAUAAUAACUUGGUGGUGUAGUGAAGGGAUGAACAUAAUUUGGCACCGGUGGUGGCCCAUAAUGGGGCAUCGGCUUCAUAGGCUUCUCCACGAACCCAUUGCCAAACCCUGAAUCCCCAGCACCAUGACAACAUCUUUGAGUUACAUUAUUUUUCGCUACAUGUCCAUUACCACUCUUUGUAUUCAGUGAAUUGCAACGGUUUGCAUGACAUCUGUAUCCUUGUUGCUCUUCAUUGUGCAAUGCAACUUCACGCUGACCAUUCAGGUUGAUUUUCAUGGCAUGAUCAUUGUUAGUAGCAUGGCUCAUGUCAUUGUUAUGGUCCUUGAAGGUUAAUUUUAUGUUUUCAGAGUGGCGUAGACCUAUAUGUUUUAGUCCUUUAAUCUUGGCCAGGUCUUGCAACUGUGCAUGGUCAAACGUAAUUGCUCGAGGGCUGCCUCCUGCCGGUGCUGCUGGUUGUGAUUGUAGUGAUGGUGCAUUUUCAUUUUGCGGCUUUUUGAGUAGCUGCUCGACGUGGGGAUUUUGAUUUCUCCUAGGGGUUUGUAUAGGAUCCCAUAAAAGCUCUGCCCUUUUCCCAGCCUUUGCCAGCUUUGCUAUGAACAGGUGUGGGUCUACUGUACUUGAGACUGCCACUGUUCCCUCAUUUGCAUCUAUGCUGAUUGUAUGCACGCCUGCAGAAUGACAAAAGACACAGUUCAUAAAAUUGAAAUUUGCAACGUAUUUCUCUUUAGGGGAAAACGGGAAAGUUACCAUGAAUUUUCUUCAACACUUUCUUCACCCUCCGCUGGCAAGUCUCACACUUUAGUUGCAUUUUUAGAACACAGGUCUGCAAUGCCAAAAUACUUAACAGAUAACAUUUUUGUCUCAACCAUCACAUCCAUAUGAUUGUAUGUAGAGAUUGAUAUGCUUUGAAUGACAACAUGUACCUGGGGAGAAACCUGAUUGUUGUCCAUUGAAGUUGACUUUCAGAUCUCCGAAAACAAAUGCUAGUUGUUGGUGUGCUCACCAAAUGCCAGAUACUUCACUGCUGUUCUUAGAAAAAUGCCGAUGGGGAUGCCUUGAACAGUUUUCAGGUUUAAAGAGUGAUAUCUAUACGCAAGUAAUUUUGGUCUUAAAUUUAGAAAUUAAUUAUUGAUUUAGUGUCAUGUAAGAAAUUUAAUGGAAAAUUUUCAAGGAAGAUAUUCUGUAUAAAUGCCAGAAUUCGUAUUGAUCUCUUUUGAGUUAUGAUAUUUAGAUUUGUAUGAAGAAGUCACAUCUUGAUUUGCUAGUGCGACAUCCAAAUUUUAAGUUUCAAAAUCAGAGAUUUGGUGCAAAACCUGGACAGAACAAUUUAAAGUGACUACUUACAUAUUUUUAUAUUUAAUAACAUUGGAUAUCAGAUACCAUCAAAUUCGAUGGUGCCAAUGUGAAUUUCAUAUUAAAGAUGUCUUGUACAGGGAAAUCGAAACGUGAUCAGAGAGGCGGGGGGGCGGGUGGUGUCAUUAAUUACACAUAAUGAUAGCCAUUUAUUGGAUUUAAUCACACAUGCAGAAUGGAAAUGACUUGAAAUCUAAACUAAAAGAGAGCCUUGCAUCACAGUAAUAGCUUUCCCUCGCAGCUGCACUCUCUGAUUCUGCUCAUCCAAAUGAAUGUUCAAGAUCCCACUUCUAGGUGAUGCCUGAGUGUAGUAGAAAGCGUAAUCAAUAUAUAACAAUUAUAAGAAUAUGAAUAAAUGUUAAUUAGAGUGAAAUGGAUGCAAAGAGAGUACCGCAUAUGCCACAAAAUCACACUUUCCAAGCUUUUGUCUCCAAUAGGUUGCCAAAGCACAAUAUGCGCUCCCACAAACAGGAUCCUGAUAUAAACAAGUCAUGUACAUAAAAGACUAUUCAUUAGAAUUGUUACAGUCUUGAGAUAGUUUUUGAAAAUGAUUUCCGUCUUACUUAUUAGAUCCUAAACUACAAUACCAUACAUAAAAGAAAGUUCUUUGGUCUCUUACACAGACAUGUUACUUCAAAUGCCAAACAUUCUUCAUUGAAAACAAAACAGAGCAGUAUACGUUAGAGGCACUAAAUAUUUUGAAGUUAGCAAAAGGGGGAAAAGGCGGUAGAAAAUGAACGUUUUCAGCAGUAGCAUUUACACUCAAUUUGCAGUCCUCAUUACUCAUCAGAUGCUCUCAAGACAGGAAUGAUAUUCAAUGCAGAUCUCCUUGUAGCAUGAGUUAUCAUUCAGUCAUGUUUAUGAGAAAUGUCCAUGCUCAUAAUAGUCGUAUGUGAACUCAAUCAUUAAAACCAACGAGUUAUUACCUCAUUGACACCAAAUUUAGGGCAGAAGAAUCGGCUAUAAAAAUCAAAUCCAGACUCUGGGGGAGCAAGCCCUGAAACAAUUAUGCCUCUUCUUCCAGGACAUUUUUUCAUUUCAUCAAACUUUGGCUGCAAGUCUGCAACAGAUUUUGCUGAUGGGAGCACCACCUGCGUAAUGUAGCCAACUUUAUUCAGAACAACUAUUGAAACUAUAUCCAAAUGAGUGAAGGGUAAAAUGAAAUUACAAAGAUGUCUUCACAGGUAGUUGUUAUCUUCAUAUCCACGACUGAGGAGACACCCAAAGCCUUGAGAAUUAAUGAAACCUCAGAAAAAUUUAAGUCAGCAGUUGGAGCAGCAGGAAAAUCCAAUUCAAUAAAAUAGCACUCUUGUGCUUCACCAUUCUGAGAAUUAGAGUCAUUCAUUGUCUUAACAUAUGGGACCUUUUUGGCUGUUAGAAUGCCAGACAGUGUGGCAAAUUCAACUGUGUUGGAGUUUACCAAAUCUGUCGAAAAGAGCGUGUGCGCAGCUGCUAAUGUUGCAUGCCCACAAAGUUCCAUCUGCAGAAAAUCUUAUCUUGAAGAUCAAAAUAUACACUCCUUUGUAUUGACGUGACGUAUAUAUAAAUCACUAUAACAUGAAUACAUGAAAAUAUAUGUUAGCAUGAUGAUCACUCCACAAAGCUUUAGUUAUGAUUUCCAUUCAGAAAUAAAAAGAUGCAUAGCCACAUAAAUAAGAGGGAACAUUCAACAAUGAUUAAAUCAUAACAAAAAUAAAACCACAAGGAGUAUGAUAAAUCGUGAAGCUCCUGAACUAAGCCAAAUAGCUUCGUCCACAAUUUAUAAUUAUGAGAACUAAAACUGACCUCAGCAACAGGAGUGAACCAUCUAAGACGGAACCUCGGAUUAGGCGAUUCAGCAUCAGUAAGGCGAGUCAAGUAACAGGUCUCGGAGAUAUUGAACUCAGAAGCCACAGCUUGUAGCCAUUCUUCAUCUCUAUCUUCCUCUAACAAACAAACCGCUGCCGGGUUCCCCUUGAAAGCUGAGUCAGUAAAAGCAUCCACCUGUCAAAGCAACAAAAAGAACCCAGUCCCAUUCAACCACAACGGAACAUCAAUCUAUAUACAAAAGAGGAGAUUACUAUUAGUUACCACAUAGUAUUGUACGAGCUUCUUGGCCAUGUUGCAGAAUAAAGAAUGAAGUUUAGAGUUUGACACGUGAAACUUGGAGUUGCAGAGCUGAAACCCGAAACUGAGAUGAAGGAAAUGGUCAACCUAACAGCCGCCAACCUACUGUCUUUUUCUUUAUAUUCUGCUGUACCGUACAUCCGCCUUGGCCGUACAGCAGAAACUCAUUCUCCUUUUAAUCAAUUUUUCCACCACCAACCCAUGAACAAGACAAAUCAAACACAACCAACAACCACUUAUAAAACUCCAAAAACAAGAAAAUCAAAGGCAUUUAAAAAUUUUAGACUUUGAUAAAAUAACUAACCUCUUACAAACUCCAAUAACAGUGGCAUCUUCCGGCCGCCGUUGAUCGUCAUCGGUCGAUGGCCUUAUCCGACCACCUAUAUUUUUCUUCUUAAUGGGUUAUGUAUACUCUUGAUGUGUAUUUCUUUUUGUUCCAGCAAAUGAGAGUAGGUGAGUGCAGUGAAAAUUGUGAGAGAAUGUCAUCCAUUGCUUUUUUGUGCUGGGGAAAGAGAAGAGAAAGAGAAAUGCACUCUUUUACACAAUGGAUAUUGUGUCUAAUCGGUUAAUACAAUUGUCCAAUAAAUUUUAAACCAUUUUUUUAUUGUUAUUUGAUUUUUUUUAUAAUUUCACCUUAUCUUUUACAUAUUUGCCCUCGUCAACUAACGGUCAAACUGUAUGUAUACUAACGGCAUGGGAGGUAAGUGAGAAUACAAUCAAACUCGCCAUCUAAGUGAAAUUAUAUCAAACCUCAGGGGAGGUUUCUGAAAAUUGCCCUUUNNNNNNNNNNNNNNNNNNNNNNNNNNNNNNNNNNNNNNNNNNNNNNNNNNNNNNNNNNNNNNNNNNNNNNNNNNNNNNNNNNNNNNNNNNNNNNNNNNNNNNNNNNNNNNNNNNNNNNNNNNNNNNNNNNNNNNNNNNNNNNNNNNNNNNNNNNNNNNNNNNNNNNNNNNNNNNNNNNNNNNNNNNNNNNNNNNNNNNNNNNNNNNNNNNNNNNNNNNNNNNNNNNNNNNNNNNNNNNNNNNNNNNNNNNNNNNNNNNNNNNNNNNNNNNNNNNNNNNNNNNNNNNNNNNNNNNNNNNNNNNNNNNNNNNNNNNNNNNNNNNNNNNNNNNNNNNNNNNNNNNNNNNNNNNNNNNNNNNNNNNNNCCCAAAAAAAAAAAAAAAAAAGGGAAAUUAGUACACUUUAAUAUGAGACUACAUAAUUAUAAUUAUAUUUAUAUUUGCCUUCAUUUCCGUCGAGGUUUACCCAAAAAAAAAAAAAAAAAAAAUUGCUUUGUAUCUCUCUUCUUAGUUCAUCAAAAGUUAAGCUGUGUUGUAUUUGAUUUACGUCCAUGAAUAUAUAGGAGGGUUCUGUGGCUUCAUAUCAGUCCCUAAGACAAAAUUGUGAAUGCAGCCACAUCAUAUUAAUUGAAGAAAGUCUUUGGGAAUACUUCUUUACGCAAUUUCUUUAUGAUGGGCAUAUAUUAGCGGACUCUUUACCGAGUGAUACUCAAAUAAACAGAAGAAUAGAAUUAAAACAAGAUGUAGAAAACCCAUUUCUUCGGAAAGUCGAACAAAAAAUGCUCUGCUCAUUUGCUUUCGUCCUCGUGGUUUUGAAGUCUUGGAUAGAAUAACGUAGUCAGUCUCUGGAAAAAGGAAUCCUCAGAGCCUAUCAGUGGCGAUUCUGGCGAAGCUAUGAGCUUUACUUCAACCCGCUUAAACUAAAAUAAUAUUUUAGAGAUUAAUGUGAACAUUGUUUAUUUCAUUAAAGAUUCAUUUUUGUUUUAAUUAAGAACCAAUCGAAAACAUUUAUCUUAUUAAUUAGGGAUUAUAAAAAAAUAUGUCAAAACUUGAAAUCUAAAAUAAAAGUAAUUCCUAGUAGCCACAACUAGCCCUCUCCAUCAUUCGCCUUUGGAGCCUACUGUUAGAAUUAAUAGUGUGUUUACCAAUUGAUAAUUUAAAUGAGCUGAAAUAAAAAAAAUAAAAAAAAAGAAUAAGUUGUUUGCUUAAGUUGUAAGAAUUGAAAUUAGAAUGAGAUACAUUUUCAUUAAUGUGUUUAGUUUAUCUUAGAAUUAGAAUGAACUGUUGUAAAUUAUUAAAUGCUCGUAGUUAAUUGUUGUACUUAAUGUAAUAAGAAUAAGAAUAAAAAUAAUAACAAUAGUUAAUAAUAAUUAAACUAAUAAAAUCACUAAAUUUUAACAAUAGUAAUAUUAAUAAAAUCAAUAAAUUUUAAUAAUAUUAUUGUAAAAAUAACAACAAUGACAUUAAUAAAUAGUAAUUACUAUAAUAAUAAUCAUAAUCAUAAUAAUGAUAAUAAUUAUUAUUAUAACAAUUAUUAUAAUAAUAUUAUUAUUAUAUUAUUAAUCAUAAAUAAUAAAGAACCUACUUGGUAAAUAUUACAAAAUUUCUAGGUAUUUUAAAAUUGAUAUAACUAUUGUGAUGAACUGGUAGUUCAAUAAGUGCAAAGUUAUUACCUGCUCUGACAUGAAGAAUUUACAUAUGAGGGUAAUGAAUACAUAUUAAAUUAUAGAAAAUUCACAAAAAAUUUAGUUAUAGCUGCUGUACGGCCAAGGCGGAUGUACGGUACAGCAGAAUGAAGGCUCGUAUGCAAACCUGUGAUUAAAAGGAUUUUAACUCCUAAUAACAAUAAAAUCUGUUAACAAGCCAUGCAUUAAAAAGACAAAGACCGGGCAGAUAUACCAGCUGGUUGACACAUAAUUAAUACAGAAUAAAGAUGAGACUUUAAUAUUUUAAAUCCUUCAUAAAACCAAAUGGAUACUCUUACCAACUUAUUUUUGGAUUAUAAAAAUUUAAUGCCAAACAGAUAUUAUGAUCCUCGCUACAGAGAACAUAAAAUGAAUUGCAAUUAACAGAGUAAAGAAAAAAAGGAUGAAUAUAAAUAUGUACCUCGAAGCCCUCAAUAAGUUCUGGAAGAUAGCUACGGCGAAAUGCAUCUCUUGUUCGACAAUCGAUUCUGCGCCAUGCAUUCAAGACAGCUAUCUUAUCAGUGUCAACAUGACAUUUCCUCUUCAGGGUCGAACCAUUUAAGGCUUUAAUGAUAUUAGCCUGCCACAAACAAAAGAUGAUUGCAGUUGGAGCAUUUUGGCACAUUACAUGUCAAAUUAACACAAAGCAUUGUAUUGGAGUCUGCAUCCACACAAAUCUCACAAAACUGCAGGUUAUUCAGGCAUAUACUUUCUUGACAGCAGAAGAAAUUUGAAAGAUCAAAACUAGUUUUGGUGAUUAAGAGAAGUAAAAAGACCUCUUUAUCCAUGUCUAUAUUCCUGAAUUUGUCCCACUCUCCAUAGUUAGUCAUACAAAAUGGUGAUGGCGGCACUUUGUCACCUGCAAAAUGAACUCAAAAUCAAUGCUAAAAUAACUGAUUUUGCAAAUUACUGCCACAAAGGUGCAAGUGACUUCAGAGAUGCCAAAAAUAAAAGUUGUGCUCCUGUUGUUCCCCAACAGAAAGAACGAAGAGUGUACUUAAAUUUGCUGAGUAGUAUCAAAGUUAGUACACACACAAACAUACGACGACUAUAUCCAAAUAAACUUGACCGUAUUAUGAUAUAAGAAGUUAAGCAAAUUUCCGUAUUGAUAAGAAAAUAAGAACCAAUCCGAACUCCACUACUGCAACAUGUAUAUUGCACACGGCUCACCUCAAAUACCCACAGAUAACUUGACACAAGAAAGACAACCUUGGUGUAAAUGUAAAGAAUUACAGAAACAAGAUAGUAUUCAAUUCUCUUGCAUUUGCUUGUCAGCAAAUUUCAUAUCGGAACAACUAAACCAAAUUAGUAUGCCAAGUAAGUGCCCUAGGGCAACUUGAUAAGGCAGCGUGCUUGAAUGAGCCAAAAGCACACACAGACACAUACUGAUAAAGAUAGCAGUUAUUUGAGCAUUAUAAAUAGGAAAAUCAAGGCAGAAAAUUACCCCAAGGUGGUGGAGCAAACAAGCCUCUAAUUUCAUCGGCAUCUAACCGUGGAACAAGUUCCAUCAACAACGAUCAUUUAACCACAUUCGAGACUGCUGAUUGCUAACCUGCAACAAAAUAAAAUGAGCCCCAAUAUGAUUAAUGAACUUGCACAAAUUAUAUGGAUUCUGUCUUUGUUCUGAAAAACAUAAGAUCAAAAGGAACCGUAGCGAAAAUACACGAACAAAAACACCUCAAAUAUCUUCAGCAGAACAAGUAGUGAUCAACAAAAUACAGUCCAAUGAAAUUGGCUUACUGCUUAUUGUAUUACAAUGAAGUGAUUUUAUCAUAUAACAUUGGAUAUCGGAUACCACCAAAUUGGAUGGUACAAAUGUAAAUGUUAUCUUAAAGAUGUCUUGUACAAGGUAUCGAAACAUGAUCAAGAAACACUCCAGGGAAUCAUUAUUUGAACGUAAUGAUUGACAUUUAUUGGAGUUGAUCACACACGCAUAAUGGAAAUCACUUGAAAUCUAAACUAACAGAGAGCCUUCCAUCACAGUAAUAGCUUUUCCUCGCAGCUGCACUCUCUGAUUCUGCUUGUCUACAUGAAUGUUCAAGAUCCCACUUCUUGGUGAUGCCUGAGUCAGGUAAAAUGUAAUCAACAUAUAACAAUUAGAAGGAAUAUGAAUAGACAUAAAUUAGAGAGAAAUGGAUGCAAAGAGAGUACCGCGUAAGCCACAAAAUCACACUUUCCAAGCUUUUGACUCCAAUAGGUUGCCAAAGCACAAUGUGCACUCCCACAAACGGGAUCCUGAUAUAAACAAGUCAUGUACAUAUAAGACUGUUACUAGAACUGUUUCAAUAUUGACAGAGUUUUUGAAAAUUACUUCCAUCUUACUUAUUGGAUCCUAAACUACAGUACCACACAUAAAAGAAAGUUCUUUGUUCUCUUACAUAGACAUUUUACUUCAAAUGCCAAAAAUCCUUCUUGAAAUCAAAACAGAGCAAUCUACACUAGACUUUAGAGGCACUAUAUGUUUCGAAGUUAGUAAAUGGGUGAAAAGCUAGUAGGAAAUGAGCAAUAAUUUUGUUCACUUUCAGCUGUAACAUUUCACUCAAUUUGCAGGCCUUAUUACUCAUCAGAUUUUCUAAAACAGAAAUGAUAGUCAAUGCACAUCGCCAUGUAGCAUGAGUUAUGACAAAUGUACAUGCUCAUAAUAUAGUAGUAUAUAAACUCAUUCAUUAAAACCAACGAGUUAUUACCUCAUUGAUGCCAAAUUUAGGGCAGAAGAAUCGGCUAUAAAAAUCAAAUCCAGACUCUGGAGGAGCAAGCCCUGAAACAAUUAUGCCGCUUCCAGGACAUUUUCGUAUUUCAUCAAACUGUGGCUCCACGUCUGUAACAGAUUUCGCCGAUGGGAGCACCACCUGCAUAUUGUAGCCAACUUCAUUCAGAACAACUACUAACACUAUAUCCAAAUGAGUAAAGGGUUAAAAGAAAUUACAAAGAUAUCUUCUGAGGUAGUUGUUAUCUUCAUAUCCAUGACUGAAGAAACACUCAAAGCCUUGUGAAUUAAGGAAACCUCAGAAAAAUUAAAAUCAGUAGUUGGAACUAUAGGAAAAUCCAAUUCAAUAAAAUAGCACUCUUGUGCUUCGCCUUUCUGUGAAUUAGAGUCAUUCAUCGCCUUAACAUCUGGAACUUUUUUGGCUGUUAGAAUUCCAGACAGUGUGGCAAAUUCAAUUAUGUUGGAGUUUACCAAACCUCUCGAAAAGAGAGUGUGUGCAGCUGCUAAUGUUGCAUGACCACAAAGUUCAACCUGCAAAAAACUUAUCCUGAAAUUAAAAUACACUCUCCUUUGUGUUGGAGUAAGUGUCAUAUGCAUAAAAAACUAUGACAUGAACACAUGAAAAUAUAUGAAGCCUAAUGAUCAGAAAUAAUAUCAUUCAAGAUAAAAAUUUAGCUAUAAUCUUCCUUCAGAACUAAAAGAAGCAUAGCACAUAAAUAAGAGUAAACAUUCCACAAUGAUGGAAUGAUGAAAUAACUAAAACCCCAUGAAAUAAGAUAAAUCAUCAAGCUCCAGAACUGAGCCAAAUAGCUUCAUCCACAACUUAUAAUUAUAAAAACUGAAACUGACCUCAGCAACAGUAGUGAACCAUCUAAGACGGAACCUCGGAUUAGGCGAUUCAGCAUCAGUAAGGCGAGUCAAGUAACAGGUCUCGGAGAUAUUGAACUCAGAAGCCACAGCUUGUAGCCAUUCUUCAUCUCUAUCUUCCUCUAACAAACAAACCGCUGCCGGGUUCCCCUUGAAAGCUGAGUCAGUAAAAGCAUCCACCUGUCAAAGCAACAAAAAGAACCCAGUCCCAUUCAACCACAACGGAACAUCAAUCUAUAUACAAAAGAGGAGAUUACUAUUAGUUACCACAUAGUAUUGUACGAGCUUCUUGGCCAUGUUGCAGAAUAAAGAAUGAAGUUUAGAGUUUGACACGUGAAACUUGGAGUUGCAGAGCUGAAACCCGAAACUGAGAUGAAGGAAAUGGUCAACCUAACAGCCGCCAACCUACUGUCUUUUUCUUUAUAUUUUUUCCUUUCUUUCCACGCUUCUUCCCCUCUCGUUAAUCACGGACGCUUGGCACAUUCGAUUGGACUGUGCAUGACACAAUAAGAUUUGUUUUUCUUAAAAUUAUCUUGUAUUCUGCCUACUACAACCAACUGAUUAACUUAAUUUACAAGAAAAGAAUUUUCUUAAAUAGUAGAAUCAAGUGAGGCAAUGAAUAAAUUUUAUUUGACUGUGAAUUAUAUUAAAUAUAAUUUAGAGAGACUCAUGAGGAAAUUAAAUAUACUAAUAUCAAUUUAUUAAUUAUUAAAUAAUGUUUAUUUAAUAAUAACAUUGAUAAAUAAAAUUUUUAUUUAAAUUUUAUGUAUGCCAUUCAUUUAUAAAUUCAUUGAAUAGAUGACUUGUCAAUAAAAUUUUUACUGUAGAAUAAAAAUUGUACAAUUUAUCAUAGAUAAAUUCACGAUAUAGAAAGUAUAAUUUCUGAACUUGUUAUGCGCGUAGAUAAAACUUCGUUACAAGGUAUCGAACAAUUAUCAAAUCAUUGUAUGACAUAUCGUUUCUAAGUACAUCACAUAGAUGCCAUGUUCGAAAAGUUUACGGAACGCGUUUAAUAUGACACGAAUAACUUUAACACAUAGAUAAACAUCUCAUUAAUAACUGAUUCAACACCGGUAGGACAUGUUCAAAACUUCAAGGACCACAAAACCUAACCCACCUUGCAGGAAGCUGAAAUGCCACCAACCAAGCAAAUUAUUCAAAUAAACCCCUUCAAAUUCUAUGAAAAAGCCAAUCACCUGAACAAUUAUUUUGCCGUCAAUCCAGCAUAAAUUCAUCUGAAUAUAAGGGAAGAAAUGACAUAACGUAUAUUAAUCCCUCAAAUAUAACAUAUUCUAAAUGAAGUCAAGCUAAGAAGUAACUUGACAAAUCCUAACUUAUACGGGUUUUUGGACGGGUAGACUACAGACACCCCUGUUUUACAAAGCUGAUGAUCAAUAAACAAAUAUAAUUGAAAGCUGAAACACAGAAUUACAUUUCACUUCAUCGAAGGUUACAUGAAGUUGGUACAUGACAUAAUGUACAAUCUUAUUUAUGUACAAGAAUGGGGAGCCCCAGCACCCAGGCACAUUACCAAAUCCCUUCCUUGGACAGUCUUAGAAACUGCGAAAGGGUAAUGCGGGGGAUCUCGGCUGAACCUUUUUUCUUCUUCUUAAUCCUUGUCAUUUUCAAAGAUUCCUCAUCCUUUGAUUCUGUAACUGUUACUGAGACCAAAUUAUAGAACUGUUCAAAAACAGAUUUUAUUACGGAUUAGAUGGUCUGCCUUAAUCUUCAGUAAACAAUCAAUCAACAAAUGCACAUCGACCAUUAAUUUUACUAUUAUCUAAGAGAUCUCUAACAUCAUCAUCUGAUUACAUGGCUUUCAGUCCGGUAUGAAAUGUGGCCUCCAAAUGAAACAACUUAUGAGACAAGUUACCUCACAGACACCAUGCAGCAACAACCUAUGAAAUGAAUCUUGAACUCGUAGCACAAGCUCAUCUGCAUCUUUGCUCUCCUCAAUGAAGGCUCGUAUGCAAACCUGUGAUUAAAAGGAUUUUAACUCCUAAUAACAAUAAAAUCUGUUAACAAGCCAUGCAUUAAAAAGACAAAGACCGGGCAGAUAUACCAGCUGGUUGACACAUAAUUAAUACAGAAUAAAGAUGAGACUUUAAUAUUUUAAAUCCUUCAUAAAACCAAAUGGAUACUCUUACCAACUUAUUUUUGGAUUAUAAAAAUUUAAUGCCAAACAGAUAUUAUGAUCCUCGCUACAGAGAACAUAAAAUGAAUUGCAAUUAACAGAGUAAAGAAAAAAAGGAUGAAUAUAAAUAUGUACCUCGAAGCCCUCAAUAAGUUCUGGAAGAUAGCUACGGCGAAAUGCAUCUCUUGUUCGACAAUCGAUUCUGCGCCAUGCAUUCAAGACAGCUAUCUUAUCAGUGUCAACAUGACAUUUCCUCUUCAGGGUCGAACCAUUUAAGGCUUUAAUGAUAUUAGCCUGCCACAAACAAAAGAUGAUUGCAGUUGGAGCAUUUUGGCACAUUACAUGUCAAAUUAACACAAAGCAUUGUAUUGGAGUCUGCAUCCACACAAAUCUCACAAAACUGCAGGUUAUUCAGGCAUAUACUUUCUUGACAGCAGAAGAAAUUUGAAAGAUCAAAACUAGUUUUGGUGAUUAAGAGAAGUAAAAAGACCUCUUUAUCCAUGUCUAUAUUCCUGAAUUUGUCCCACUCUCCAUAGUUAGUCAUACAAAAUGGUGAUGGCGGCACUUUGUCACCUGCAAAAUGAACUCAAAAUCAAUGCUAAAAUAACUGAUUUUGCAAAUUACUGCCACAAAGGUGCAAGUGACUUCAGAGAUGCCAAAAAUAAAAGUUGUGCUCCUGUUGUUCCCCAACAGAAAGAACGAAGAGUGUACUUAAAUUUGCUGAGUAGUAUCAAAGUUAGUACACACACAAACAUACGACGACUAUAUCCAAAUAAACUUGACCGUAUUAUGAUAUAAGAAGUUAAGCAAAUUUCCGUAUUGAUAAGAAAAUAAGAACCAAUCCGAACUCCACUACUGCAACAUGUAUAUUGCACACGGCUCACCUCAAAUACCCACAGAUAACUUGACACAAGAAAGACAACCUUGGUGUAAAUGUAAAGAAUUACAGAAACAGGAUAGUAUUCAAUUCUCUUGCAUUUGCUUGUCAGCAAAUUUCAUAUCGGAACAACUAAACCAAAUUAGUAUGCCAAGUAAGUGCCCUAGGGCAACUUGAUAAGGCAGCGUGCUUGAAUGAGCCAAAAGCACACACAGACACAUACUGAUAAAGAUAGCAGUUAUUUGAGCAUUAUAAAUAGGAAAAUCAAGGCAGAAAAUUACCCCAAGGUGGUGGAGCAAACAAGCCUCUAAUUUCAUCGGCAUCUAACCGUGGAACAAGUUCCAUCAACAAACGAUCAUUUAACCACCUUCGAGACCGUCGAUUGCUAACCUGCAACAAAAUAAAAUGAGUCCCAAUAUGAUUAAUGAACUUGCACAAAUUUAAUGGAUUCUUUAUUCCCAAAAACAUCAAAUGAAAAUGAACCAUAUCGAACAUACGUGAACAAAGACACCUCAAGUAUCUUCAGCAAAACAACUUUUAUCAGUAGUGAUCAACAAAAUACAAUCCAUCAGUGGGGACCCAAGUUAGGGUCACAUAGAUUGCACCAAUCGUAUGUAUAUGCAACGGGAAAAUACAGUAUUUGAACAGUGUCACUUAAGAAGAAUCAAGUAUAAGAAAUUUGAGCUGUCGUCACACAACUGGACAAUUUGAUUCAAUAUGAAGAUCAAACUUAUAGUGGCUAUGUAAUCUUCUCAAAUUUACGUUACAGUAACCAUUUGUAGGUUAGGAAAGAGAAUUACAUUUCCGGUUAAGCUCUCUAGAAAUUCGAUUUUCUUUUCGAUCGACAUCCCACGUGACUUCGCACCCUCUCCUGCUAAAAAAUAACACAAAAGAAUUAAAAAAAUUUCUCACAUAUACACGCGAGUGCAGAAUAUGUCUAGAAAUACGAUCUGGGUAUUGCAAAAUAAUGCCAUAAAAGAAAAAAAAGAACCUUUGCUGGGAUCAAGGAGAGGAGGCGAAAGAAGGAAGUCUUGCUCUCUCUCCAUAAUGUCCGGAGUCGCCAUAAUUGAUUGAUUUGGUUGAUUCAAUUGAUGAACGGAUAGAUCUGGGCUCUGCUUUAUCUCUUUGAUUAAGAAGUUUUGAGGAACUAAGACGAGAGUGAUUACGAUAAUGGACAAGGCCGAUUUUUUUUUUUUUUUUACCUUUCUUUUUUCUUUUCUGGCUGCGGUGGUACUGCUUAAAUGAAAACAGAGCAGAACGCAAAAACACAGAGAGAGAGGAAUAUGCGAGUUCGUGUUUGCGAAGCGGUUUGACUGUUACUUGCGACUUGUCCGUAGCCAAAUCUACCAGCCCUAUCUAUCUGCUCUAAUUUCCCUUCCUCAUAUUAGAACGUGCUGCUAAAGGUUGUACCUCUUUAUGCUGAACGUGGUUUUGACUUUUAGUUGAAAGACGAGGUUGUCUUGUCCCAAGGUGCAAUCCCCUCGUAGCUGAAAAUUUUGGAGCUUUGAAUUUGAUCAUCAGGGGACACGUAUGAAGAACGUGCACGAUUUAGGCAGCUGUACAUGUUUGUCAAACUCUAGUUGUAGACUUAUAGGGCUCCUCCUCCGUUCUGUUUUCUAUUGUUAAAUGCAACGGCAGAUUGAAACUUAUUUGCCCGAGGCGUGUAAUCGGGAUGACGUUGGGUUCUUGUAGCAUUAUUACCUUUUCUUUUGUCUGCUUUGAAUUUUAAUCGGCCCAUCAAUAUGGCAUUGCACGAUCCAGAUUCACGAUUAAUCCAAUAUAUGGUUGGUCUGUAUGGCGUUUGGUUGAUCGUUUGGCUGUCGGCCCAUCGCGAUGGUCCUUUUCUUUAUUUUAUUUUUCGUGUUAGGAUUUAAUCCAAUGGUUAAGGCUCUGAGAUUAAACAGUUGUAGAGUUAAACAUUAAAAUAUUGAUAAACACUAGUUGAUGUAGUUUAAAAAUUAAGUUAAUUUGACCUCACACUUAUUUGAUAGAAAAUUUAUAAUAUCUUUAUUAUUUUUGUUAAAAUUAUAUAUAUAGAUAGAUAGAUAGCAAAAUUUAUUAUAGAAUAUCAACUUCAUUUGAUAUUGAAAACAACAACAUAUGCUUCUUUAGAAAAAAAAAAUGAAAAAGAAAAAGAAAAUAACAACAUAUGACUAAAAAAAACCAACAAUUUUUCUCAUUAAAAAUAAUAUGGUUAUUAUUUUCAUGGCAUAUUUCGUAUAGGGAAAUAUCCAUUUUUGUAGUAAUGCGCCGUCUCAUUCUAAGAAAACAAAAGUUAACGUCUCGCUAUGAGAAAAAGAAAGUGGAUAAUUCAUUCCCCAUUUCCACGUUUAAGGGGACAAAUAUGGCAUUUCACAUCAUGUCCUUCACUAUCUCCAAAAUGCGGAUACUACAUGGCUGCAACAAUGUACGUACAAGCCAAUCCCAGAAGCAAAGGUGGCAAAGGGCAAAGCUCUUUCCUUUGGUUUUUCUCUUACAAUUAAUAUUAAUAUCCCCCUCUGUCUCUCACAAAACCCUAACUCCGCCACCUUUAAAUCCUUUGGGUAAGUUUCUCUUUAUCUGUAGAAUCUCUAGGUGUGCAUGUAUAUAUAUAUAUAUAUAUAUAUAAGCAUGUAUCAUGUUGUUUUCAGUAUUACUAAAAAUGACCAUGCUGUUAUACUAGCUUAUCACGUCUUUAUGUAUAACUAUCAAACUUGAAAAUGUUUUUCUUCUGAUAGGUCUAUGUUUAAAUGAGCAUUUCAUUUAUAUGGGUGGGUUUCUGUUCGGUUUUUAAUAUCAUAUAUAUGGGAAAUUUCUUUGUAGCUUAAACUUGUCUUAUGUUAUGUGAUUUACAGCCAGUUGCUAUCCCUUAAAAUUGGAAUGGACUAAUAUUGUUGUAUUAAAAAUUUCCAUUUCUUUUCACUUAGUCCGAUCUCGGAUGUCAAAUAUGCAUGACUCAUUUUGUAAUCCAUUUUUCUAUUUUUUAGAUUAACUAAAUAAAGAACUUUGUAAUUACGGGGGGGAAAAAAAGAUGCUAAUAAAUAAAUAAAGACUGUUCUUUCUUGACUCGCUGCAUUCAUUGAUAUCCUGUGAUUUAAGCCGUGUCUUCAUAAAUGUGUUGUUUCUCUACGUCUUAGCAUCUUAUACCAUUUAGCUUGUCUGGUUUUAAAUUUCUGAUCAAAUUAAAAAUUUUUGGAAUCGGUCGAUUAAUUCUAUAUAAGACUCACUCCUCUGCUUUUUGUCACUUUGUUUACGGUACUUACCACUCACAGUAAUUCAUGCUAUUUUACUGCUUACUAGUAACUAAGGGUUGGAACUUAGAAGGUUUGGCUUGAGUUAUAUAGAAUGGAAGGACAAAGUGAUCAGCAGAAAUUUCAGUGGUUGAUGUCAUCAAAUUUUGAUGGGAAUGCCAAUGAUGAGUCUCAUGGACCUGGAUAUGAUCUAAACCAACCCUUUGUUGCGGAAGCUGGAUGGGAUGGGAACCAGCAUAAUUCUCUGCCUUUACCUCAGUGGCCAUACAGCUGGAAAGCUCCUCGCAGCUACAUUGAUUUGAUUGCAGAAAGUUCCACAUUUCUUGAAAAUGCUACUGGUGCAGAUAUGUUAGAGUGUAUUACUUCACCUGUUGGUGGGGCUCACUCUGUUUAUGGAGGCUCUGAAAUCCAAAGAGAACUAUUGUUCAACAAUCUUGGGAACCCUUGCGGUCAUACACCUCCUUAUGGAGACUCUGAAAUCCAGAAAGACCUAUUGUUCAACAAUCUUGGAAAUGCCUGUGGUCAUGCACCUGCUUAUCCAUUCUUCGACUUGGAUGUUUCAAAGGUAAAGCCAUCUUCCUAGGUGCUUUAUGAGGCAACGACCAUGAAGCUGAAAUGUCUGAUUGGGUAUGUGCUACAGGUAAGAUUUCAGAACCCAUAUGAUGUUGUGGAAUCACAAAACAGCAACUUUAUGUUCUUCCCGCAGCAGAUUCUUUCUCAGGUUUAUUUCAUCCAUUAAUAUCUCCAUUUCCAAAUACAAGUUGAGCAUAUUGUCUUAAGCAGUCAUUAAACUUGAGGACUUGAUUUUUGAUAGGUAGAUGCCAAUAUCUCGCACCAGAAUCAAACUUUAUGGAGACAAGAACCAUAUGAAGAAUGUAAUGUGUCUCAACUUUAUCCCAGGGUAACAGUUGCUCCAUCUAUUUACCUUUCCAAACAACGAUCCAGGGUAUCGAAACAAAGAGCCAGUGCAUCUUAUCGUGCAAGUAGAAUACCCUUCUCAGCCAUUGCAGAAGCUAAUGUAUCAACCCCUGUACUCAACGGACCAACAAAUAUGGUUACAAUCAGAUAAUUCAUUUUACUAAUUUUUCUUAUUUGGAAUAAAAUAAUAGUCGUUGUAGUACUCUGACUAAAGUUUAUUUCUGAUUCAUUGUCGCAAGACACGAAGAGCUGAAAGAAUCAGAGCAUCGCAAGAACUGCUUCCUCAUUCUGUAGAGGUAAUGUGUCAAUGCUUUCACAGUUAUCGUGACAAUUAACAUGUAUGCAUGACACGAGAAGUUUUUCAAUUAUGUAAUCUUAAGGUGUGCUGCAUAUCCUAAUGCUAAUUCCCUCAUACAUUGUCUUUUACAUAUAAAAAUAAUAGCAAAAUUUUGUUAUAUGUUUAUUACGUACAAUACUCUAAAGAUGCCAUUGUAAUAAGGAAAUGGCGUUAUAUUGUGUAUGCUUUUUGGGAUCCCAAUGUCCGUCGUCACGCUAUGUCUAGUUCCAAUGAUUGUGCAUGUGAAAUUUUAAAGGUGAGCACUGGUUCACUUUUGGUUUUGCAGGGUGGUCAUGCAGCUGUGGUGGAUGAUACCAUUGACUACAUCAAGUUUCUACAGUCACGAGUGAAGGUAUGGCGUACCCUGAGGUGCCAUUUUACACCACUUAUGCACCGACAGUCACUUACCAUAUUGACAUGUAUUUCUUUCUAUGUGCGAAAUUCAAUACAAGCGUAUGGUUCAAACUUCAAAUAAGUUGAAUCCGAUUCUUCAUUGCUUUCAUUUGCUUUAAUGACAGUUCCAGCGAUCUUAAGAUAAAAAUUUACUUCCAUAGGUGCAUAUCUAUCGUAAACUUUUUGCAAUGAUGGUGUAGAUUUGUAUGUUUAUCAAACCAUAUCAUAAUAUUAAGGAAGUAAUUUGA
RNAcentral lists this long non-coding RNA (26467 nucleotides) under Citrus sinensis (sweet orange). RNAcentral describes it as "long non-coding RNA (CSIN_LNC002379)". Lineage: Eukaryota; Viridiplantae; Streptophyta; Magnoliopsida; Sapindales; Rutaceae. The record is from RNAcentral.